UUGGGGUGAUAAAAAUGUUCUAAACUUGAUUAUAGAAAUGAGACAGGAUAGUUCCCUUGACCCACUUCGUGGGUGGGAAUGGAAGUGGCUCAUUUCACUUAGCCUGCCACUGGCCACUCCUCAUGAGACAGAGUGUGCCAGCAAGGGAGUGUGGGAACUGGAGAGAAUGAACCCUGGACCUGGCCACUCUUCUCUGGCGGAAGCAGGUUCCGUGCGGGCCCUACAGCAGCAUCCAAGCCCCUGUCCUCUCGGCACCUGAGUUCUUGUUUGGCAUCCAGGAAGAAUUAGGUCACCCACACGGAUUGAAAGGAUAUGGACAACGACCAGUCUUUCCGUUGUUUAACGAAAGCGGCAGUUGGAUUCCUCCCAGAAGUCUACCCAAGGAUCCCCAGCGAAAGGGAGCCAUAGUCCGAGGCUCUGGCUGCCUGCCUGUUUGGAGCUUUGAUGGCCUCGAGGCCCCCAGAUGAGACAGGAUUGUUCCCUUCAUCUUAACCCCCUUCGUGGGCGGGAACUGGAGCAGCUCAUUUCACUCAGCUCGCCUCCUGCCACUCCUGGCGGCAGAGCGUGCGAGUGCGGGAACCGGAGCGACCGAAUGCUGGAACCGGCCGGUCACUCCUCUCUGGCGGGAAUAGGCUCUGUGCGGGCCUCACAGCAGCGUCCAAGCCCUGGCCUCUCGGCACCGGGGUACCUGUCCGGCGUCCAGGAAGAAUUAGGUCAUAUGAACGGAUUGAAGAGUAGUGUAUGCGGAAGAUUUGAUUGAGUGGUGGCUCCUGGUGGGAUGGGUACUGGAAAGCAGACGGUGAAAGAGGGUCAUCUUUCCCUGAAGCCGCACCAUCUGAAGUUAGCUGCGUCUAUCUGUAGUCUUCAACACUCUUGCUGCUUCUCUGCUCACCGCUCAGCCGCUUGUGUUGCUCUGCCAGCUGAAGUCUUUUUUAUGGCCACAGGAUAGGGGCGUGGCAGGCCAAAAAAACAACAUUUGGGCAGAAAAACAGGGUCAGCUGUUUUCAAGGCCGUGAUUCCAGGCUUAAGGGUGGGGUUUAGCUGGGAACCCAGCCAUUCUGUAUCAGUGAUAGUUGCACAACUAUAAAUAUACUAACAACCAUUGAAUUGUGUACUUUAAGUAGAUUAACCGUAUGAUAUAUGAAUUACAUCUCAGUAAAGUUGUUUUUUAAAAAAUAUGCAUAUACCUUAGUCUAGCCGUUCCAGGUCAUAUACUACAGCGAUAGUAACAAAGAUAUAAUAUGUGGUUUAUAAUAAUAAAUAUUGGAAAUACUUAAUCUUGCAAAUGCAUGAUCAGUAAGGUAGUGGAGGCAAAAACUAGGUUUCCCAGGAGCUUCAGGCUUCUCAACUUCCAAGUAGUAAUCUCAAGGAAGUACGUACUCUGACUGAAACUGUUUAUGUCACAGACCUACUCCUUAGACCAAUCACUGUUCCCAUAGAGAUAGCUCAUUAUGAUUUGUGGAGUCAGAAUCAUGUGCCCACUGCUGAAAUCAGGAAUUCAGGGUCCUGGGAGAGUCACCCGUGCCACCCACCUAAUGUUUUCUGGAAGUUUGACUUUAAAAGGAAGAAGACAGCAAGAGAUCAAUAUAGCUAGAGUGUGGAGAUGAGGUGUUUUCUUUAAAAUAGAGGUGACUUGAACACGUUUAAAUGCUUGUGCAAAGUAGCCAAUAUAGAGGGAGCAGUUAAAGACACAAAAGAAAUAGAAUAUUUCUAAUCAAUAGAUCUCAGGAAAUUAUUAUUUCCCACUAUCCCUCAGAAAAUUAUAUUCAAUAAAGGAAUUUGUUUCUGGC
RNAcentral lists this long non-coding RNA (1790 nucleotides) under Homo sapiens (human). RNAcentral's name for it is "HSALNT0316454". The record is from RNAcentral. Lineage: Eukaryota; Metazoa; Chordata; Mammalia; Primates; Hominidae.